This 253-nucleotide ribosomal RNA is filed under the name uncultured bacterium. RNAcentral's name for it is "partial 16S ribosomal RNA". It matches the Rfam family "Bacterial small subunit ribosomal RNA", at positions 524 to 776 of the family's 1533-position model. The record is from RNAcentral.
UACGUAGGGGGCAAGCGUUGUCCGGAAUCAUUGGGCGUAAAGGGCGCGUAGGUGGCCCGGUCAGUCCGUGGUGAAAGCCCGGGGCUCAACUCCGGAACUGCCUUUAAGACCGCAUCGCUAGAACGUCGGAGAGGUAAGUGGAAUUCCGAGUGUAGAGGUGAAAUUCGUAGAUAUUCGGAAGAACACCAGUGGCGAAGGCGACUUACUGGACGACUGUUGACGCUGAGGUGCGAAAGCGUGGGGAGCAAACAGG